RNAcentral lists this ribosomal RNA (885 nucleotides) under bovine gut metagenome. RNAcentral describes it as "bacterial SSU rRNA". It matches the Rfam family "Bacterial small subunit ribosomal RNA". The record is from RNAcentral.
AGAGUUUGAUUCUGGCUCAGAACGAACGCUGGCGGCAUGGAUUAGGCAUGCAAGUCGAACGCCGAUAGCAAUAUCGGAGUGGCGCAAGGGUGAGGAACACGUGAGUAAUCUGCCCUCGAGUUGGGAAUAGCUCCGGGAAACUGGAAUUAAUACCGAAUAAUAUUGUGAGACCGCAUGGUCUUGCACUUAAAGCAGCAAUGCGCUUGAGGAGGAGCUCGCGUCCCAUUAGCUAGUUGGUGAGGUAACGGCCCACCAAGGCGAUGAUGGGUAGCUGGUCUGAGAGGACGAUCAGCCACAGUGGGACUGAGAACUGCCCACACUCCUACGGGAGGCUGCAGUCGAGAAUUUUGGGCAAUGGGCGAAAGCCUGACCCAGCAAUGCCGCGUGCGGGAUGAAGGUCUUCGGAUUGUAAACCGCUGUCAAGAGGGACGAAAUUUGACGGUACCUCUGAAGGAAGCCACGGCUAACUACGUGCCAGCAGCCGCGGUAAUACGUAGGUGGCGAGCGUUGUUCGGAUUUAUUGGGCGUAAAGGGUCCGCAGGUGGUUGGUUAAGUUUGAUGUGAAAUCCCGGAGCUCAACUCCGGAACUGCAUUGAAAACUGAUCGACUAGAGUAUCGGAGAGGAGAUUGGAAUUCCAGGUGUAGCGGUGGAAUGCGUAGAUAUCUGGAAGAACACCGAAAGCGAAGGCAGAUCUCUGGACGAUUACUGACACUCAGGGACGAAAGCAUGGGUAGCAAACAGGAUUAGAUACCCUGGUAGUCCAUGCCCUAAACGUUGUAAACUUGAUGUGGGCGGAAUUACUCCCGUUCGUGUCGAAGCAAACGCGAUAAGUUUACCGCCUGGGGACUACGGCCGCAAGGCUAAAACCUGUCUCUUAUACACAU